AGCGAACGCUGGCGGCAGGCCUAACACAUGCAAGUCGAACGAACCUUUCGGGGUUAGUGGCGGACGGGUGAGUAACACGUGGGAACGUGCCUUUAGGUUCGGAAUAACUCAGGGAAACUUGUGCUAAUACCGAAUGUUCCCUUCGGGGGAAAGAUUAAUCGCCUUUAGAUCGGCCCGCGUCUGAUUAGCUAGUUGGUUGAGGUAAUGGCUCACCAAGGCGACGAUCAGUAGCUGGUCUGAGAGGAUGAUCAGCCACAUUGGGACUGAGACACGGCCCAAACUCCUACGGGAGGCAGCAGUGGGGAAUAUUGCGCAAUGGGCGAAAGCCUGACGCAGCAAUGCCGCGUGAAUGAUGAAGGUCUUAGGAUUGUAAAAUUCUUUCACCGGGGACGAUAAUGACGGUACCCGGAGAAGAAGCCCCGGCUAACUUCGUG
This 434-nucleotide ribosomal RNA is filed under the name uncultured bacterium. Its description in RNAcentral is "partial 16S ribosomal RNA". It matches the Rfam family "Bacterial small subunit ribosomal RNA", at positions 29 to 507 of the family's 1533-position model. The record is from RNAcentral.